CUUGUGGCGGUGGAUGUAAAUAAACGGUGGAGCGACUGCAAAAGAGCCGCUUCACUGGGUAAAAUUAGGGUGUGCCGCGGAACCCGCUCCUUAGCUAGUCACACUUCGGAGACGCGGGCAACGCAGGUGCUAAUGUCUAAAGGGCCGGCUGCAACCGGCCC
Molecule: small RNA, 161 nt
Filed under: uncultured Collinsella sp.
Lineage: Bacteria; Bacillati; Actinomycetota; Coriobacteriia; Coriobacteriales; Coriobacteriaceae
Description: Collinsella-1 RNA
Rfam family: Collinsella-1 RNA
Source: RNAcentral